Clupea harengus (Atlantic herring) is the source of this 2444-nucleotide long non-coding RNA. NCBI's taxonomy places the organism in Eukaryota, Metazoa, Chordata, Actinopteri, Clupeiformes, Clupeidae. The record is from Ensembl.
ACUACAACACAGUUUGGAAAUGUAACUCAGAUCCAAUGGUAUUUGUCCAGCUCGCAGGCUCGUAUUUGGGUAUUUUUCAGAAUUCGGGCCCAUUUCUGUCCACAGGGUGUAAUUAUAUUAAAAACUAAUUAAAUCUAAUACAUUUUAAAUCCAUUAAUUAGUAUAAACAAAAACAAGCCUAGACCUUUUUUAUGGUUGCUCUUACUAAUGAUUUUAACACAUUUUAUUGGUGUUUAGUGGUACCAUAUCUGUGCUUUGGUGUUGUCCGCCACCAUAGUUUUCACAUGUCGUGCCAUAUCUCAAACAUUUUUUAUCACAAAAUUAAUAAUAAAAAUAUGCAUAUGAAUUUAAUGUUACUUGAACUAAUAAACUACAUGCACAGAUUAAGCAUAUAUAUGCAUUUUGUACUUUUUUUUGGUUAAUUUCUACCUGUCCCAUGGUUUAGCCGUCAUUACCAACACACUCUGCAUAAAGGCACUUUCCUACUGUUUUUUCAUCAAAUGUUUAUUUGGUAGCCAUGGUAACUUAAUAUCAUAGUGGAGCACAUGUAUUUCAAGCUGCAAGACUGAUGCCUUGAUGUCCAGAAAAGUGUGACAUGGCUCCAAAAGCAGCUGCCCAAAGGUCCAAAUCAUACAGAAAACGUAUAAAAGAUGAUCCUGAGAAAUAUGCACAGCAUCUGCAGAGUGAGAAAGAGAGAUAUCGUAGAAGAAGAGAAACAGGAAAAUUGAAAUCUGUUUCCCUAUUGAGCACCCGAGAACACAGAUAUGAAAAAAAGAGAUGGAAAGUUAAUCAACAAAGGAAGAGAGCUAAGGACAGAGAAAACAGAGAAAUACAAAAUUAUCUUUCAAUGAAUAGUCCUCCAGAAUCUCCUGAUGUCCAGGCACAAGAUAAUCAGAAUAGGGAUGUGCCAUGUGCAAGGAAUGAAAGAGGAGGUAAGGCGGAUUCCAUCCAAACCCCAAAGCAAAUAGGACGCAAAAAAGUAAAUAGAAACAGAAGAAAGGUCUACCAUGAUCUUCAAAAGUCGCAAAAAAAGCUGGAAAAUGCCUUGCAAAAGGUUGAUAAGUAUAGGAAAAGGUUAGAUAGGCUGACUAAGAAGCAUACCACUGAGCAGUCCCCAAGAACUAAAGCAAGAAAACAGAUGAGGGGAGGACAUGGUAAUCUCAGGAGGACACAUGUGUUCCAUAACACAUUAGUCUCACAGCUGCGACAAACCUACCAUCAAAAGAAAAUUAAAGAAAAACAAAUCAUAUCAAAGGUCAUUGCUGGAAACAUUUUGAAGAAGUACCGGUUAGUGUAUGCGGCACACAAAGAACUUGGAAUAUCCUACAAAACAAUGAGAAAGAACAUAAUGACACCUGGUCUUCAGUAUUCGAGAAAAAAACAUAGUAAUGUGGUGAGCAACACUACAAAAGAGAAAAUUAAAGAAUUCUUGGAACGUGACAACAAUUCGCGAGCUACUACAGGAAAGAAAGACAUCAUAACUAGACAGAAGUUCAAAAAGCAGAAGCGUUACCUCAAUGACUCUCUUUUCAGACUGUAUCAAAGUUUCAAGGAAGAAUAUCCCCAGGUGAAAAUCUCAUACAGUAAAUUCUGUGACAACCGUCCUUUCUGGGUCGUCAAACCCUCCAUUCAAGACAGGGAUACCUGUUUAUGCAAGACCCAUGCCAACAUCCAACUCAUGGCUGAUAAAUUGCUUUAUCUGAAAGUAAUUAGUACCAACAGAAUUGAAAACUCAAUGCACUCACUAUGUUGUGAAAGUCCAACGAAAGCCUGCAUGUAUAGAGAAUGUGUCCAUUGCCAGGACAAAGAGGUACAAACUGCUGCAUUUGAACCUGGUGAGCAAACACAGUGGAUGGAAUGGCGGAGCAAAACAGAAAUCAGGGAGAAAAAGAAAGGUGGUGAUAAGGUGACAUUCACUGCUCACUUAACAGUGAAGGAGCAAAUCCAAGGAACCAUUCAACACUUGUUGGAAAAUCUCACAGCAGCACUAAAGAACAAGUUUGGCAAACAUUCUUUUAACAUUGCACAUCAGUACUCAACCCUCAAAGCCCUGAAGGAAAAUGUUCAAGAAAAUGAGUUAAUUCUCCAUGUGGACUUUGCUGAAAAUUAUCUGUGCAAGUAUUCUUUGGAAAUACAAGCUGUACAUUUUGGAGACUCUCAUAAGCAAGUAUCCCUACACACAGGAGUUGCUUAUACGGUUGAUGGUGCUCUAUCCUUCUGUUCUGUCUCUGCUUCAAUGCGACAUGAUGCCUCAGCCAUAUGGACACAUCUGAGCCCUGUACUCUCUCACUUCAGAGAGCUCAUCCCAUCUCUGAACACACUGCACAUGAUAAGUGAUGGACCAACGACGCAGUAUCGUUCAAAGAAGAACUUUUUCUGUCUCAGCUCUGUUCCAUUUAAGCUAGGAUUUAAAAAGGUCACAUGGAAUUUCCUAGAGGCAGGCC